GAGAAGCCCCAGCGGCCACCGUCACGUGGGGAUAACAAGAUAUACACAAAAAAGUGAGCUUCCGCCACGGGAAUUCAGGCCUGAUGCAGUCUGUGAUGUGAGGAUGUCUCAGGCACUGCCAUGCAGAUGAGUGGGAAAUGAAGGGGACUGAUGGGAAGUGCCCUGAGGUCAGGAAUUACACAGAUAUUGUUUGCUCUGCAGACCUGAGCUGCCUCUUAAGGGUGCUGAUUACACAGCCUUCUUCAUCUCAGCCUAUGUCCAGAUGGAUCACAGAAUCCUCACCACAAGGGAGCUGGCCAGCCUGACCUGGAAGGACCAUCCAGAAACUCAACCAAGGCACCACAGACUGCUGGGGAAAGGUUCUUGCUGUUUUAAAUAACAUGUCCAGGCCGGGCACAAUGGCUCACGCCAGUAAUCCCAGCACUUUGGGAGGCCGAGGAAGGCGGAUCACCCGAGCUCAAGAGUUCAAGACCAGCCUGGCCAACAUGGUAAAUCCUGUCUCUACUAAAAAUACAAAAAAAAAAAAAAAAAUUAGCUGGGUUGGUGGCACACACCUGUAGUCCCAGCUACUCGGGAGGCUGAGGCAUGAGAAUCACUUGAACCUGGGUGGCAGAGGUUGCAGUGAGCCGAGAUCACACCACUGCACUCCAGCCUGGGUGACAGACCAAGACUCCGUCUUAAUAAAAAAUAAAUAAAUAAAUAACAAGUCCAUCAUCAGUUAGGCCCUGACCAAAUGGGCUAGGGGACAUGAGGACAGAUGGGGACGGGGAAAAAAAGGAGCAGAUACCUUAGCUCAGGUCCUCAUCCCCAGCUGGGUUCCCUUCUCCUCCAAGGAAUCCUUUCCAGGAGUGGAGAAAGAGGCAUCUCAGUCAGACAGCCAGGGUCCCUGGAGGCCAGACUUUUUCAUCCCCUUUCACAUGUGAAGAGGCUGAAUAAUCAUCUUAUCCCCCUGUAUUAGCUCAUUCUCACAUUGCUAUAAAGAACUACCUGAGACUGGGUAAUUUAUAAAGAAAAGAGAUAGAGCCAGGCAUGGUGGCUCAUGCCUGUAAUCAAAGCACUUUGGGAGGAUGAGGUGGGCAGAUCACCUGAGGUCAGGAGUUCGAGACCAGCCUGGCCAACAUGGUGAAACCCAGUCUCUACUAAAAAUACAAGAAUUAGCCAGAUGUGGUGGCCUGCGCCUGCAAUCCCAGCUACUCAGAAGGCUUAGGCAGGAGAAUCACUUGAACCUGGGAGGCAGAGGUUGCAGUGAGCCAAGAUCCCACCACUGCACUCCAGCCUGGGCAAGACAGUGAGACCAUAUCAAAAAAAAAAAAAAAAAAAAGAAAAAAAAGAAAAAGAAAAAGAAAAAGAAAAAAAGAAAGAAGAAAAGAAAAGAAAGGAAAGGAAAAAAGAAAAGAAAAGAGGUUUAAUUGACUCAUGGUUCCACAGGCUGUACAGGAAGCAUGGCUGGGGAGGCCUCAGGAAACUUACAAUCACGGCAGAAGAUGAAGGGGAAGCAGGCAUGUCUUACAUGGCUGGAGGAGGAAGGAGAGAGAGUGAAGGAGGAGGUGCUACACACUUUAAACAACCAGAUCUCAUGAGAACUCACUCACUAUCAAGAGAACAGCAAGGGGGAAAUCUGCCCCCAUGAUCCAAACCGUGUCACCUGCCUGUAUUAUCUCUGUGUGUGUGUGUGUGUGUGUGUGUGUGUGUGUGUGUGUGUGUGUGUGUGUGUGUGUGAUGGGGUCUCACUCUGUCACCCAGGCUAGAGGAGCAUGAUCAUAGCUCACUCACUGCAGCCUCAAAUUUGAGGGAUCCUCCUGGGCUCAAGCUAUCCUCCUGCCUUAGCC
This 1829-nucleotide long non-coding RNA is filed under the name Homo sapiens (human). Its description in RNAcentral is "HSALNT0006890". Lineage: Eukaryota; Metazoa; Chordata; Mammalia; Primates; Hominidae. The record is from RNAcentral.